AGGCAACCUCCCUGCGGCGGCCAUGGCAGGGAAGGUGUUUAACUGCUCGGAAAUCGAUUUGCUUUUGCUCUUCAGACUUGCUGAGAUUGCUCUCUGAAGCUGGUCUAGUAAGCUCUAGUACAUC
Molecule: non-coding RNA, 124 nt
Organism: Punica granatum (pomegranate)
Lineage: Eukaryota; Viridiplantae; Streptophyta; Magnoliopsida; Myrtales; Lythraceae
Source: Rfam